GGUUAAGUGAAUAAGGGCGCACGGUGGAUGCCUUGGCACUAGGAGCCGAUGAAGGACGGGACUAACACCGAUAUGCUUUGGGGAGCUGUAAGUAAGCUAUGAUCCAGAGAUUUCCGAAUGGGGGAACCCAAUAUCUUUUAUAGGAUAUUACUUUUCAGUGAAUACAUAGCUGAUUAGAGGUAGACGCAGAGAACUGAAACAUCUUAGUACCUGCAGGAAGAGAAAGAAAAUUCGAUUCCCUGAGUAGCGGCGAGCGAAACGGGAAGAGCCCAAACCAAC
This 279-nucleotide ribosomal RNA is filed under the name Enterococcus faecalis. Its description in RNAcentral is "partial 23S ribosomal RNA". It matches the Rfam family "Bacterial large subunit ribosomal RNA", at positions 1 to 278 of the family's 2925-position model. Lineage: Bacteria; Bacillati; Bacillota; Bacilli; Lactobacillales; Enterococcaceae. The record is from RNAcentral.